RNAcentral lists this ribosomal RNA (495 nucleotides) under uncultured bacterium. RNAcentral describes it as "partial 16S ribosomal RNA". It matches the Rfam family "Bacterial small subunit ribosomal RNA", at positions 28 to 507 of the family's 1533-position model. The record is from RNAcentral.
GACGAGCGCUGGCGGCGUGCCUAAUACAUGCAAGUAGAACGCUGAAGGAGGAGCUUGCUUCUCUGGAUGAGUUGCGAACGGGUGAGUAACGCGUAGGUAACCUGCCUGGUAGCGGGGGAUAACUAUUGGAAACGAUAGCUAAUACCGCAUAAGAGUAGAUGUUGCAUGACAUUUGCUUAAAAGGUGCAAUUGCAUCACUACCAGAUGGACCUGCGUUGUAUUAGCUAGUUGGUGGGGUAACGGCUCACCAAGGCGACGAUACAUAGCCGACCUGAGAGGGGGAUCGGCCACACUGGGACUGAGACACGGCCCAGACUCCUACGGGAGGCAGCAGUAGGGAAUCUUCGGCAAUGGACGGAAGUCUGACCGAGCAACGCCGCGUGAGUGAAGAAGGUUUUCGGAUCGUAAAGCUCUGUUGUAAGAGAAGAACGAGUGUGAGAGUGGAAAGUUCACACUGUGACGGUAUCUUACCAGAAAGGGACGGCUAACUACGUG